ACGGCUCAGUAACACGUCAUCAACCUGCCUUAGAUCAAGGAUACCCUUGGGAAACUGAGGUUAACACUUGAUAGGAGAAAAUUCUGGAAUGAAUUUUCUUUUAAAAGCAAUGUCUAAGGAUGGGAUGGCGGUUGAUUAGGUAGUUGGUGAGGUAAAGGCUCACCAAGCCCAAGAUCAAUAGGGGCCUUGAAAGAGGUAUCCUCGAGAAGGACACUGAGAUACUGGUCCUAGCCCUACGGGGUGCAGCAGGCGCGAAAACUUUACACUACACGAAAGCGUGAUAAGGGAAUCCCGAGUGCUUAUGCAAUGCAUAGGCUUUUGCCAAGAGCAAAUAUCUUGGAGAAUAAGUGGUGGGCAAGACUGGUGCCAGCCGCCGCGGUAACACCAGCUCCGCUAGUGGUGACCGAUUUUAUUGGGCCUAAAGCGUCCGUAGCUGGUUAUGUAAAUCUUUUGUGAAAUCGUUGCGCUUAACGCAACGGCUUGCAGGGACACUGCAUAACUUGGAACAGGGAGAAGUCAAAAGUAUUCUUGGGGGAGCGGUAAAAUGCUAUAAUCCCAAGAGGACUACCUAUGGCGAAGGCAUUUGACUAGAACUGAUUCGACAGUCAGGGACGAAAGCCAGGGGAGCAAACCGGAUUAGAUAUCGAGAAAUCUGCAAAUAGAUUUCUGAACUUAGUUUCUCGUGUGUUUGCAAUAAAUUACUGCACGCUAGGUUCAGUGAGAACAUGAGAUUUCACUCGACUAAGUACCCGAGUAGUCCUGGCCGUAAACGCUGCGAGUAAGGUGUUGCAUAUUCCUCGUGAAUGUGCAGUAUCGAAACGAAGGUGAUAAACUCGCCGCCUGGGAAGUAUGGUCGCAAGGCUGAAACUUAAAGGAAUUGGCGGGGGAGCAC
RNAcentral lists this ribosomal RNA (892 nucleotides) under uncultured archaeon. RNAcentral describes it as "bacterial SSU rRNA". It matches the Rfam family "Archaeal small subunit ribosomal RNA", at positions 85 to 879 of the family's 1478-position model. The record is from RNAcentral.